GACGAACGCUGGCGGCGUGCUUAACACAUGCAAGUCGAACGGAAAGGCCCUGCUUUUGUGGGGUGCUCGAGUGGCGAACGGGUGAGUAACACGUGAGUAACCUGCCCUUGACUUUGGGAUAACUUCAGGAAACUGGGGCUAAUACCGGAUAGGAGCUCCUGCUGCAUGGUGGGGGUUGGAAAGUUUCGGCGGUUGGGGAUGGACUCGCGGCUUAUCAGCUUGUUGGUGGGGUAGUGGCUUACCAAGGCUUUGACGGGUAGCCGGCCUGAGAGGGUGACCGGGGACAUUGGGACUGAGAUACGGAGCAGACUCCUACGGGAGGCAGCAGUGGAGAACAUUGCACAAUGGGCGGGAGCCUGAUGCAGAAACGCCGCGUGCGGGAUGACGGCCUUCGGGGUGUAAACCGCUUUCGCCUGUGACGAAGCGGGAGUGACGGUAAUGGGUAAAGAAGCACCGGCUAACUACGUG
This 468-nucleotide ribosomal RNA is filed under the name uncultured bacterium. RNAcentral's name for it is "partial 16S ribosomal RNA". It matches the Rfam family "Bacterial small subunit ribosomal RNA", at positions 28 to 507 of the family's 1533-position model. The record is from RNAcentral.